GGAAUAUUGGACAAUGGGCGCAAGCCUGAUCCAGCAAUGCCGCGUGGGUGAAGAAGGCCUUCGGGUUGUAAAGCCCUUUUGUACGGGAAGAAAACCUACUCGUUAAUACCGGGUGGGAAUGACGGUACCGUAAGAAUAAGCACCGGCUAACUUCGUGCCAGCAGCUGCGGUAAUACGAAGGGUGCAAGCGUUAAUCGGAAUUACUGGGCGUAAAGCGUGCGUAGGCGGUUUGUUGAGUCCGAUGUGAAAGCCCUGGGCUCAACCUGGGAAUGGCAUGGGAAACUGGCGAGCUAGAGUGCGGUAGAGGGGUGCGGAAUUCCCGGUGUAGCGGUGAAAUGCGUAGAGAUCGGGAGGAACAUCCGUGGCGAAGGCGGCACCCUGGACCAGCACUGACGCUGAGGCACGAAAGCGUGGGGAGCAAAC
This 423-nucleotide ribosomal RNA is filed under the name uncultured bacterium. Its description in RNAcentral is "bacterial SSU rRNA". It matches the Rfam family "Bacterial small subunit ribosomal RNA", at positions 358 to 773 of the family's 1533-position model. The record is from RNAcentral.